This 253-nucleotide ribosomal RNA is filed under the name uncultured bacterium. RNAcentral describes it as "partial 16S ribosomal RNA". It matches the Rfam family "Bacterial small subunit ribosomal RNA", at positions 524 to 776 of the family's 1533-position model. The record is from RNAcentral.
UACAGAGGUCCCGAGCGUUGUUCGGAUUCACUGGGCGUAAAGGGUGCGUAGGUGGUGAGGUAAGUCGGAUGUGAAAUCUCCGGGCUCAACCCGGAAACUGCAUUGGAAACUACCUUGCUGGAGGGUUUGAGGGGGGACUGGAAUUCUCGGUGUAGCAGUGAAAUGCGUAGAUAUCGAGAGGAACACCGGUGGCGAAGGCGAGUCCCUGGAAAACACCUGACACUGAGGCACGAAAGCUAGGGGAGCAAACAGG